Molecule: ribosomal RNA, 496 nt
Filed under: uncultured bacterium
Lineage: Bacteria
Description: partial 16S ribosomal RNA
Rfam family: Bacterial small subunit ribosomal RNA
Source: RNAcentral
GAUGAACGCUGGCGGCGUGCCUAAUACAUGCAAGUCGAGCGAACAGACGAGGAGCUUGCUCCUCUGACUUUAUCGGCCGACGGGUGAGUAACACUUGGAUAACCUACCUAUAAGACUGUGAUACCUUUGGGAAAUCUGAGCUACUACCGGAUAAUUUAUUGAACUUCAUGGUUCAAUAGUGAAAUUCGGUUUUUCUGUCACUUAUAGCUGGAUCCGCGCCGCAUUAGCUAGUUGGGUAGGUAACGGAUUACCAAGGCAACGAUGCGUAGCCGACCUGAGAGGAUGAGCAGCAGCAGUGGAGAGGAGACAAGGUCCAAACUUCGAAGGGAGGCAGCAGUAAGGAACCUUCGGCAAGGGGCGGAAGCGUGACGGAGCAACGCGGCGAGAGUGAGAAAGGGCUACGGAGCGUAAAACUCUAAUAUUAGAGAAGAACAAAAGUGUAAGUAACGAGACGCGAAUGAAGGGAACCUAAGAAGAAAGCCACGGCUAAUUACGU